AAUACAGCAAAAAAUUAUCCACAACGGAGACUUCGGAUAAAAUCCGGAUGAAAACAAUCCACUAAGGGACUUCGCUGGGGAUGUCCACAAGGACACUCCUGGGGAAGCAGCGGGACGAGGUAUUACCGGUUACUGGGUAAUAAGCUCAAGGAGACAUGUGAUCUGAACGCCAGGUAUGAGGGUGAGAGAUACAACAUGCUCAGGAAGAGAUGAAUAUCCAAGACCGGUAUAAGGGUGAGAGAUAUCAAAACUUCAAAACGUCUAAGGAAAACCUAAAAGGUAUACUUCAACUCAG
RNAcentral lists this long non-coding RNA (295 nucleotides) under Lathyrus oleraceus (garden pea). RNAcentral's name for it is "Pisum sativum (pea) long non-coding RNA (PSAT_LNC027195)". Lineage: Eukaryota; Viridiplantae; Streptophyta; Magnoliopsida; Fabales; Fabaceae. The record is from RNAcentral.